RNAcentral lists this ribosomal RNA (497 nucleotides) under uncultured bacterium. RNAcentral describes it as "partial 16S ribosomal RNA". It matches the Rfam family "Bacterial small subunit ribosomal RNA", at positions 28 to 507 of the family's 1533-position model. The record is from RNAcentral.
GAUGAACGCUGGCGGCGUGCCUAAUACAUGCAAGUCGAACGAACGGACCAGAAGUUUGCUUCUCUGAGGUUAGCGGCGGACGGGUGAGUAACACGUGGAUAACACACCUAUAAGACUGGGUUAACUUCGGGAAACCGGAGCUAAUACCGGAACAUAUUUUGAACCGGAAGGUCUAAAAUCUAAAGACGGUGUUGGUGUCAUUUAAAGAUGGAACCGCGCUGCAUUAGCUAUUUGGUAAGGUGACGGCAUACCAAGGGAACGAUGCAUAGCCGACCUGAGAGCGUGAUCGGCCACACUGGAGCUGAGACGCGGUCCAGACUCCUACGAGAGGCAGCAGUGGGGACUCUUCCGCAAUGGGCUAAAGCCUGACGCGGCAACGCCGCGUGAGUGAUGAAGGUCUUCGGAUCGUAAGACGCUGUUAUUUGGGAAGAACAUAUGUGUAAGUAACUGAGCAGAUCUUGACGGUACCUAAGCAGAAAGCCACGGCUAACUACGUG